Molecule: long non-coding RNA, 964 nt
Organism: Nyctereutes procyonoides (raccoon dog)
Lineage: Eukaryota; Metazoa; Chordata; Mammalia; Carnivora; Canidae
Exons: 4
Source: RefSeq, a predicted model, not a curated record
CUCACCCUCGCGGAGGAGAGGAAGCGAGGACCGCACGGCUGGGGAGCGAGGAGACGUGUGGAGUCCGGGGCUCGGGCCGCCUCCACCUCCUCCUGCAGCGGACGCGGCGCGGCGGGCGGCGCACCGGCCGCGUCGGCUACCCUGCGCGCAGGGAGAAGGAGGAGAGUGGCUCGAGGAGACUGGGUUUUCUUGGAUUUGCGGCAGCUCUUAGAACCCGACCAGGCUUCCCGGGAGUUAAAGUGAAUCGCGGGUGGCAGUGUGGAAGCCAAAAACGGGAGCUUCCAGAAGUGGUUUCUGAAAAAUAGGAGUGAAUAUACACGAGUAAGCUAGUACUGGAAUCAGAAAAACCACAGUCUUUCAACCAGUCCUUUGCAACGUACUGAAGAUAAUUCUGUCAUCAGAUGCUGACUUGACUGCACAGAUUCCCCGGUUCAUCAGUGAGCUGCAUAUUCUAUAUUUUGUGGCUAUAUGCUAUUUCCUUCGCGCAGCCCAAAGAAUCUUUUUCUCUUGGAACCCACUAACCUUAGACUCUUCCUUCCCUGGGGUGCCGCCUUGUGGUGGGCUGUGGGUCCUUCACCGACAAACUCCUGCACUGGUUAGUCAUGGAGGAAAGUGAGUCAGCCAUUGUGUGACUCAUUGCAAACCCAGCUCAGAGUAACAGGCUCCCAUCAUACACCCAAGAGACCACGAAUCAUUAGGCUGAGACAACCUGCUGGUGGAUACUAUUUGGAAUAACUCCCCUAUUGUGAUUUUUCUUCAACUCUUUUCCCUCCUACUAUAAAUGGACUUAGAAGAAACAUUAAGAAGAGAAUGAAGGGCAGCCCUGGUGGCUCAGCCGUUUAGCGCUGCCUACAGCCCAGGGCGUGACCCUGGAGACCCGGAAUCGAGUCCCACGUAGGGCUCCCUGCAUGGAGCCUGCUUCUCCCUCUGCCUCUCUUCCUCAUUCUCUCUCUGUCUCUCUCGC